Polypterus senegalus (gray bichir) is the source of this 2164-nucleotide long non-coding RNA. RefSeq lists it as uncharacterized. NCBI's taxonomy places the organism in Eukaryota, Metazoa, Chordata, Cladistia, Polypteriformes, Polypteridae. The transcript has 3 exons. The record is from RefSeq and is a predicted model, not a curated record.
GCGAACAAGCGCUGAAGACCGUUGCCGAUGAACUUUCUUUGGGUCCAGUUUGGGUUUUAAUGUUGUGAUCCGUGACCCGAAUUAAGCGACUAAUGGCGUAACCUUCAAGGAAUGAGGUGUGGACACACAGAAGAGCACCGAUGGGUGAAAAUGAGUGUAUCAUUCAAUGUACAUGGCAUCACCCGAGAAGAAACAGCAAAGAUAUCGAAUAUCCAAAUUUGUCUUACUCUACAUUUGACAGAAUCAUCUGGAUUGCCAAGUAUCUGCAACAAAGCAUCAUUAGGUUAUUAAGAGAAAGUUAUAGUUGACUAAAAUGUUAUAUGCAUUCACAGUAAGCUGGAAGUCCACAAGCAGUUCUUGCAUUCUUUAAUGUAAGAGAGCACUUCAUAAACAAGUAUGGUAUGUUUCUCUGAUUAUGAGCAUUAUGGUAAAAAAUAGACAGCAGACAGAAAAACUUUUUGGGGAUGGCCACCCCGUACACUGAAAAAUAGGCAAAAACAAAGAAAAUACAUCUUUACACGUAGAGUUCAUAAAGGAACUGACCAACAGGACAAGUCUGGGCUAUAAAUAUCGAGGAUUAGAGGAAGAGGUGGAGUCUGGGAGGCCGGAACAGGAACUGAUGUGGCAGGUGGAUUGGUUCUGGGUAACGGAAGCCAGAAAUGAGGUCAUCAGUGGGUGGAGCUAUGGUGAUGUCACUGAGAGGCUCAGUCUUCGGCUGGUCUGCAGAGGGACAAGAGGAGAAAGGAUCACACGUCAGCACCAACCCCUGGUCUGCCAUGUACGCGUGUGUGACAACAUGUACAAAUUAUAGGAGCAUUUUAGAUAUUUUCAGAAAUGUCUGACAAAACAACCGAGAGAAUGAUAGGAUAAAUGUUUUUCACAUUGAGCAAAAGCUCUACAAAUUCCAGCAAAGUCUGGCUGCAGAUAUCAACUCUGAGGCUACAAGCACUGAGAAACUGAACAUACAAUGAGAGGCUGAGCCUGGACUUGACGUACGACCAGAUUUAGAUGAAAAUACAGGAUAGCUGGUGACGUGUUAUGCAGAAUCAGAAGUAUUAAGUAAAUAAAUGAUGGCACUUCUUUGUAUCUUAGAUAUAUCAGGUACUCUGAUUUUAUUCAGGUCUUGUCCGUGUUCAUUCUGGAGGGAUCUCCCAUGAAUGUGGCGUCUUUUCAUUCACUGUUUUGUUUUAUUCUACAGUAUAUAUUUUUCAUGUCAGAGUGUUUCAUUUGCACAGGUUGGUGAGUAGAGCAGUUGUUAUUUUGAAUGUUUUUUAAACAUUUCAUGGUAUGUAGCAGACCCUCGAGGACUUAACUUUCAUGGUGUUCUGAUUUUCUAUAAAUAGGUUUCUGUGAAUACUUGUUCUUUGUUACUGAUUGUCUUUGUACCAGUUGCAAAAAGUUUUGUUUUUAUUGUCCGAAAACUUUGUUAUUGUUUUUUACAAAAAAUAUUUAUCAGUGCACAAUUAGCUUGAGCAUUCUGACAUUUACAGUGUUGACUUGGAUUCUCUGUGUCACUACUACAUGAAUUCAACAACUGAGUUACUGUAUGUCUGCACACUCCAGGCUCCAAUGAUGCCCGAGUCAUUUACUGUUUCUCAAAAUGGCAAGAAGCUCCCUUCGAUGCAGUAAUCCUCAGGCUGUGAUUAUAGUAUGGGUAGACUGGAUAUGUCAACAUUUUUCCACCAUAUCCUUAGAAGGGUUAUUUUCACUGUCUUUUUAAAAGAGAUGUGUGUUUCUACUGGUAGACCUGAAGCUGUCCAGUUGGCCUCCCAUGAGUUGUUUAGUGUUGUAUUUCUGGGGACAGCAACAGUCAAAAAAGAAUUAAAUAACAGAAAGGAUGUCAGUACAGCCUGGGGGAUUAGGUGAGGAAAGCAGAACUUUAUUUCAAUUCUUUGAUUUUUCUUUUUUUUUUUAUUUGAUAUGCCUUAAUUAUCCCCAAGGGGAAAUUGCAUAGUGCCCUGGGGGAAUUUUUAGAUUAAGGCGCCCAAUGGAGUAGGAUCCUUUCUGACAGUAGCAGGAUUUGAACCUGCAACCUCCCAGAUACCAGCGCAGCUCCUUCACCCCAGAGCCACCAUUCAAAUAUUUUUUAAUUCAUUUAAAUGUAUUAACUUUGCUUUUGUAAUUCUUGAUGCUUUAAACUUGAAUACAUGUUUCUUUAUACACA